AAACUGAACAGGCAAUGAACUUCACACGAAGUCAUGGUGCCGGGCCGAAUUUUCGGCAGCAGAUGAAAGAGCGGACAUCUGUGGGACAGU
RNAcentral lists this non-coding RNA (90 nucleotides) under pig gut metagenome. RNAcentral describes it as "NiCo riboswitch". It matches the Rfam family "NiCo (Nickel/Cobalt) riboswitch aptamer". The record is from RNAcentral.